AAAAUUAAAUAGCCGCAUUUUGUGCUAAGGUAGCAUAAUCAUUUGUCUUUUCAAUAAAGACUAGAACAAAAGAUUUUACAUUUUAAUUACUUUUUUAAAUAAAAAUAUUCUAAAUUUUCCUAAAUGUAAAAAGACAUUUAUAUUUAAGAAAGACGACAAGACCCUGUAGAACUUAACUUUAGUUAAACUGGGGCAGUUAAUUAAUUAUAAUUUUAUUUCUAAAAAAUUUUUAGAAAAAUCUAAUACAAUUAAUAAAUCAGUUACCAUAGGGAUAACAGCGCAAUUAUUUUUUAAAGUUCUUAUAUAAAAAAUAUAUUACGACCUCGAUGUUGAAUUAAUAACCUAAUUAAAGCAAAUUUUAAAAAAGGAAGUCUGUUCGACUUUUAAAAAAUUACAUGAUUUGAGUUCAGACCGGUAUAAGCCAGGUCGGUUUCUAUCUUCUACAUAAUAUCUUACAGUACGAAAGGACCUAAGAAAAUAAUUACAUUAAUAUAUUGGCAGAUAAAUGCAUUAGAAUUAGAAUCUAAUAAAACUAAU
This 537-nucleotide ribosomal RNA is filed under the name Naphrys xerophila. RNAcentral describes it as "partial 16S ribosomal RNA". The stretch from base 147 to 442 matches the Rfam family "Bacterial large subunit ribosomal RNA", at positions 2074 to 2646 of the family's 2925-position model. Lineage: Eukaryota; Metazoa; Arthropoda; Arachnida; Araneae; Salticidae. The record is from RNAcentral.